CGCAUAAGGGUAUAAUUGUAUUUGUCAUAUAUUAAGAAACUGCCUAUCCUACAUUUACGCUUGUAAUUAUAGAAUUUUACUCUAUCCACCCACCCACCACAAAUUCAUUCAUUCAUUUUCACAAACCUAUACCAGUCGGCGGCGCAUCACCUCUAGAACUUCGGUGAAAGCAGUGCUCGACGAUGGUUGUUUAUCAGCGAAAUACUGAUAAUCGUGGCGGUUCGAACCGACGAACAUCUAAGAACUUUGAUUUUUAGGCUGCAUUUGGUGUAUGGAAGAAUUUGAAUCCGUGAGCAAGACAAAAUGACUGGUUUAGUGAAAGUUAUCAGGGUGAGAUGGGUGAUCGUCCGAGAAAGGGAUAUGCAAGUAGCUCCAGAACGAGUUGAACAAAUAUUCAGAGUGUUAAAGUAGAUAUUCGAUUACUUUUGUUCACUUAUUUAUAAUAUGCUCAUUUAUAAAAAAAUUGUAAUAUAUUAAUUUAAUUUAACUUAUUUUUCAGAACUUAUUGUAUGAUAUUCAUUAUUGAAUAAUAUUUAUUCAGAACAUAUUCAUGUUA
This is a long non-coding RNA of Salvia miltiorrhiza (redroot sage), 556 nucleotides long. RefSeq lists it as uncharacterized. The transcript has 3 exons. The record is from RefSeq and is a predicted model, not a curated record. NCBI's taxonomy places the organism in Eukaryota, Viridiplantae, Streptophyta, Magnoliopsida, Lamiales, Lamiaceae.